GGAGCUUGCUCCUCUGAUCAGUGGCGAACGGGUGAGUAACACGUGAGCAACCUGCCCCAGACUCUGGGAUAACAGUUGGAAACAGCUGCUAAUACCGGAUACGAGACGGAGAGGCAUCUCUACCGUCUGGAAAGUUUUUCGGUCUGGGAUGGACUCGCGGCCUAUCAGCUAGUUGGUGAGGUAAUGGCUCACCAAGGCGACGACGGGUAGCCGGCCUGAGAGGGCGACCGGCCACACUGGGACUGAGAGACGGCCCAGACUCCUACGGGAGGCAGCAGUGGGGAAUAUUGCACAAUGGGCGAAAGCCUGAUGCAGCGACGCCGCGUGAAGGAUGACGGCCUUCGGGUUGUAAACCUCUUUCAGCAGGGAAGAAGCGAAAGUGACGGUACCUGCAGAAGAAGCACCGGCUAACUACGUGCCAGCAGCCGCGGUAAUACGUAGGGUGCGAGCGUUGUCCCGGAAUUAUUGGGCGUAAAGAGCUUGUAGGCGGUUUGUCGCGUCUGCAGUGAAAAUCCCGAGGCUCAACCUCGGACUUGCUGUGGGUACGGGCAGACUAGAGUAUGGUAGGGGAGACCGGAAUUCCUGGUGUAGCGGUGGAAUGCGCAGAUAUCAGGAGGAACGCCGAUGGCGAAGGCAGGUCCCUGGGCCAUAACUGACGCUGAGAAGCGAAAGCAAGGGGAGCGAACAGGAUUAGAUACCCUGGUAGUCCAUGCCGUAAACGUUGGGCGCUAGGUGUGGGG
Molecule: ribosomal RNA, 740 nt
Filed under: uncultured bacterium
Lineage: Bacteria
Description: bacterial SSU rRNA
Rfam family: Bacterial small subunit ribosomal RNA
Source: RNAcentral